This 253-nucleotide ribosomal RNA is filed under the name uncultured bacterium. RNAcentral's name for it is "partial 16S ribosomal RNA". It matches the Rfam family "Bacterial small subunit ribosomal RNA", at positions 524 to 776 of the family's 1533-position model. The record is from RNAcentral.
UACAGAGGGUGCAAGCGUUAAUCGGAAUUACUGGGCGUAAAGCGUGCGUAGACGGUAGCGUAAGUCGGGUGUGAAAGCCCCGGGCUCAACCUGGGAAUUGCAUUCGAGACUGCUCUGCUAGGGUGCGGAAGAGGGGAGCGGAAUUUCCGGUGUAGCGGUGGAAUGCGCAGAUAUCAGGAGGAACACCAAUAGCGAAGGCAGCUCGCUGGGACGUUACUGACACUGAGGCGCGAAAGCGUGGGGAGCGAACAGG